CCGUGGCUAUGUGGUCUGGAAAUUGAAGAAGAUGACCUCUUCUUUCUAUCCAGAGUGGCUUGUCAUCCUUAAAACCUUCCCAAGACCUUGUCAUUUCCAUCCUUGACCUAACCCAAUAUUCUUUUUCUAGAGAAUAUUCCUUUUUCUAUUAAAGGAACUAGCAAAGUGGCCCGCUCGAUGCACUGGCUAGAUCUUUAGAAAGUUUAAUAAUGAGAGUAUGUUAUUUGUAUUAAAAAUUUGGGACCAAAUAUGAUGACAUUUGAAAUAUAAUACUUUUGCGAACAUAGUUCUUUUUUUGCGGGGAUUGCGAACAUAGUCCUAUAUUUAUUAUUCAUUUAUCAUUUACAUGCUUAGUAUGCAUGUCGUAGUAAAUGUAUUUUUCAUGAUGAAUCCCGUUGGGCAAUUCAUGGUUUUUAUAAUUUGUCUAGCAUUUUCACUUUAAACAUGGAUUUAUUUGCACGCAACAAAGUAAAUAUUGGUUAUUUUUUUAGUUGUUCGUUAGUGGCGGUUGUAAACACAAUUUUACCUUUAUACAUAUCCUUGGUGAUUUUCCCUGUAAGGGAAUUUUCCUUCCAUGUUUUAGAAAAUAUUGGUCACGAACAUUCUCAUCAAAAUCAUCGGGAGUGCGUUGCUCCAACCCAUGGGUUUCCUUGAUGCGACCGCACAGAUGGGUCUUGUAAUUUCUUUAAAAGUCUCCUACCCCUUACAUUACUAACGAAUUGAUGUUUGUCGUGUGUGGCAGUUUGACAUGAAAUGGUAGUUCGAUAUGCAUAAUCUAAAUAUAAAUGAUUGAUACCGGAUAGACAUAUUUUUAUGAUCAUGUACUAUAAUUAUUUUUGCAUGCAUUUGUUUAGAAUAUUCUGAGAGAAAAUUAUGCUAUGAUUUAGGUUCAACCCACGUCGUGAACUCUAUCAUUAUAGUGCGUAUAUACUGUAAGUAAUCUUAUUUUGUGCGUAUGUAUGAGUGCAUGCGUCUGUAGUAAUCUUAUUUUGUGUGUAUGUAUAAUUGAAUUUGCAUUUUGUGUUGUUUGUACAUAAAGGAAACUUUUUCUGGUGGAUUUAUUUGUUGUGCUUUAGCCCAACAGAUUCACACAGACGUACACAACCUUCAAGUCUUUUCUCUCGCACUCUUGGCUCAAACAAAAAAAAUCUUCUCUCGCACUCACACCUUUGCCGUUUCUAAUCCUCAAAAAAAAAAAAAAAGAGAUUGCUGUUUCUUGAUCCCCUUUUCAUUUCCUUCCUUCCUCUCGCUCCUCCUUCCACCUGAUGAGCUCUGACUGUUAGCGCUGCUCAACUCACUGGUGCGGCCAUGGGGUGGCCGUCUACGGUGCUUGGUUUGGCUCCUAUACUCGUCGAUCUCUCAGACCGGUCAACGGCGACGGAGUGGUAGCAGGGCCCAAGGGAGAAGCGGCUCAAGGGAGGAAACGAGCUCGUCGAUCCUGACGGCGCUGUUGCCGUCGGCGUCCAUCCAGGUGAUGUGGGUGUGGAUCUUGUCUCCCGCAGACAGGUUGGAUCCACCUUGAUUGUGAGAUGCUGACGGUGUUGUUUUCGAUCGCAUCGUCGCUGCCUCCCGAGCGAGGCAGCCCGGUAGGUCAUCUUCAUCCUGGACUGGCAGCCUGAUUUCGGCAGCUCAUUCUUCCACUUGCAGGUCCCCCUUCUCUCUUUUCCUACCCCUCUCAUGUUUUUGUUUCUUAUCCUUUUUCUGCAUGUGUAUGGGUAAACCAAUAUAAUGCGAUUAAGGUGUUGCUUGUUAGGAUGUAUAUAUCUGUUUAUGGCCCCCUGCCCCGUUCAUAUUCAACAAAUUUAGUAAGUAAUUAGUGUAAUCAUGAUUAGCCAUGUCUUACUAUUUAGUACUACCAAAGAAAAAGUUUAUAGGAAAAUAGGUGUGAUUGCAUCCUACUCCCUCCGUUUCCAAAAUACUUGACUUCCAUUUGUCCAAAAAUAGAUAUACCUAUAUACUAAAACAUGUCUAGAUACAUCCAUAUUUUGACAAAUGGAAGGCAUGUAUUGUGGAACGGAGGGAGUACAUAUGAACUAAAAUGAUGCGUGGAUGUUGACACUAUUGGCUUGUACUAUAGAAUAAUCUUUAAAUAUCAGAUAACACAAAGUGUCGACAUUUGGUAUUAACCAGCUAUUUCCACCAAAUGUUGAUGCAUGUUUCCAAUACUUCUAUGAGUAGUGGAUCAUAUCCAUUCUGCCAUAUAAUGCUAGCAUAGAAAAUUCAGUUUUUAUUUUGAAGAUAGUUUUGUAGUGUACUAUUUUUUCAUCUACUUAUGUUUAUCUAAAAGGCUAGUAGCAUCUGGAAGUUUGUUUUUGUUCCUACCUUUAGAAUAUUUUUGUGUAUACUAUGUUCUUGACCACAUCUUCCUUGUUGUUAGUUUAUUUGCUAUAGAAAAGAAAAUAACAGGUAUGGUCAAGUUAGUAGGCUAUUACUGGCAAGUGUUUUCCCAAAGUAUCUCCUUUUUCUUAUGUCCCUCAUGAACUCAUUGAGCUUUGUGUGGAACAUUCGAUCAACAAUAUCAGGUUUCUGUGAUGUUCUUUGGCCUACUUCCAUAAGCAUAGAUUGAAUAUCCGGCCAAGCUGUGUUGCACGUGAAUGCCACAAAUAGGUCUGUGUAUCAAGCCCAUCGACAUCUUGCUAUAGCAUCUUGGUAGUUUUGUGCUUGUAUCUUAGGUUAUCUGUGAAGCUGGAUGGCAGUAGUAUUCUCCUUCCUACCUUGUCAGCCCUUGUAUCUCCUCUUUAUGUUGCAUCCUGCAAGUCAGCAUAUAAUUCUGCUCUUAUGUUUCCUUGAUGUUUUUUGGACCAGUCUAGUUUGUACUACAAAAUGCAUGCAAGGGCAUCCAUGUUGAACUUCCGAAGUUGCUCGUUCGUUGAGGUUCUUCUCGCCUUUAUGCAUGUCCAAACGCCCUUCUCAAGUUGCUCUUUCUUCAUACCAGAAAAUUGCACCACACCAUUCACACUUGCGCCUUGGACUUUCGAAGUUCCAAAUUUCCAUAUCAGUCCUUUUCAAUGUCCUGUUUAAGUUUCUGAAUUUAGCAUCAAUUUGAAUAUUAGUAUGUUCUUUUUUCUUACUAAUACAACAAACUUAAUAGAACUGACAUAUCUGGUUAUUCUGCCCUUGAUUUUUUCUAUUGUACACUUUGUGUUACUUUUAGUCAUGUACACAUGCUUAACAGAAUUACCAGGUUCAUGAAUGUCCAAAUUGUAGAUCUUAAUUGAAUUUUCUUGCUACUUACUUCGUAGUUUUACCAGCCUAUGCUUUCCUGUGGCAAUUCAACAAUGCUAAUUUUGCCUCAGUCAAUGCACAUGAUUGACAUCUGUACAUGAUAUGGUUCCCUGUGGUAAUUCAACAAUGCUGAUUUUGCCUCCGUCUUGAUUAAGCCCUGUUGCAUGGAAAUGUGUUUUCAUGUUUAAAAAAAGCUAAUAGGUACAAUCAGGAACAAAUGCAACAUGUUUUUGUGAUUCAAUAUAGCACUUGGAAGGAACGGAACACAUAGAUAUCACAAUUGAUGCGCAAAGAAGACGCAAGCUAUAAUGUUGCUUCCAGUAUACCAUACUACAGUUGUGCAACAUGUAAGGGAAGUUUAGCAAUUGAAUUAAGAACAGUAAGUUAAGAUAGUGGAUGAUAAUACACAUAAGAAUACCUUUGUGAUGAUUUGCUUAUGGCACGUGGUUGGCAUAUUUGUGCUGUCUGGCACAUCUCCAUGUAUGAUCGAACGCUGUCUCUUGUUGUUGUCUUGAAGUUUCAUUCUCCUUUCCUAAUCCUAUCUUGUUAUUAUUGAUUGUCUGGAUUCACAUCAAUAUUAUAAUAUAUUUUUUCUGCCCAUGCUUAAAUCAAUUAUGAACACAAAUGUGCCUAACUGGAAUUGUUGCAUUAUAUAAUUUAGGUGUAACCGUUUUGUGAUAUCACUUAUUAAAAGUGCAUGAUUAGCAGCGGAUCACCUUGUUGGAUUGUAUAUUUGAUUGCUUUUAACUACCUUGGCAGGUUUCUCACAUUAUUGCAAUGUGGUCCACCUUUUAUUUUCAUCGUUUCUUCCUGCACAAAAUAGAAAACAUGUAUUAUAGAGGAUGAUAUUGUAAAAUUGGUACCAAGUACUGCUGAAGGUUAUGGAGAUCUAUGAUUCUGAUUAAUUAUUCACCUUACAAUUUUUUGUUUUGUUGUAGAAGUAAAGGAGAUCAACUUCCAAGAUCAGUGAUUGUGGUGAAAGCUUUAAUGUUAAAGUGGAUGUUAAGUUUCAAUCAUCAUGAUGAAGACACAUAUUUGUGAGGGUCUGUUACCCUUCUGUUGUUUUUAGAUGAUAGUCUAUAUGAAACCAUAUAUGGGUGAAGAAUUAGAUUGUAAUUGGGGAUGGCAAGUUCAUGCACAAUUACGAUUGAAGAAUCGCAAGGGAACUUGCCUGGUCUAAAUUUGGAAGCUAUUUGAUUAUGUACCUUGAGUUGAAACGUGGUAUGUACCUUCGAUCAUGUUCCUCCGUGAUUUUCAUGGUGAUUGGGAAUCAAGUGGUGUAGACUCGACGGGGAUGACUUGGAAUGAGAGGAGCCAUGGCAAGCUAGCAUUAAAGGAGGAAGGGACUCACGCAGGUGAUCUUCCAACAUAGAUUUGUUUGUAGAUGCGUUUUCUAUUGGAUUGUAAGGAGGGAGGUAUAUAAAUAGAUUAUUAUAUCCAUGGAGUAUAUUGUUUGAGAGAGAUACAAACUAA
Aegilops tauschii subsp. strangulata is the source of this 4698-nucleotide long non-coding RNA. RefSeq lists it as uncharacterized. The record is from RefSeq and is a predicted model, not a curated record. NCBI's taxonomy places the organism in Eukaryota, Viridiplantae, Streptophyta, Magnoliopsida, Poales, Poaceae.